GUACACCAUAAGUACAAAAUACUAAAGUUAUAAAAGAGAAAAAGAAGAUUGCUGCUAACAUGAAUCUGAGCAAUACAGCGCAUUUUGUGCCACAUACAAAAAGGUACUGUCCGUAGAUUUAUGACUUAGCUUUCUCCUAAAAACUGGGAGUGGA
This 154-nucleotide long non-coding RNA is filed under the name Marmota monax (woodchuck). The record is from RNAcentral. Lineage: Eukaryota; Metazoa; Chordata; Mammalia; Rodentia; Sciuridae.